RNAcentral lists this non-coding RNA (450 nucleotides) under Sarcophilus harrisii (Tasmanian devil). Its description in RNAcentral is "Microsporidia small subunit ribosomal RNA". It matches the Rfam family "Microsporidia small subunit ribosomal RNA", at positions 751 to 1311 of the family's 1311-position model. Lineage: Eukaryota; Metazoa; Chordata; Mammalia; Dasyuromorphia; Dasyuridae. The record is from Rfam by way of RNAcentral.
GAGAACUACUAGCCACUGCUUAAAACUCAAAGGACUUGGCGGUGCCCUAGACCUUCCUAGAGGAGCCUGUUCUAUAAUCAAUAAACCCCAAUACACCUCACGCCUUCUCGCUUAUCAGUCUAUAUACCACCAUCAUCAGCUCACCCCAACAGGGUCCCAAAGUGAGUAAAAUCAUGAAACCAUAAAAACGUUAGGUCAAGGUGUAGCAUAUGGAGGGGGAAGCAAUGGGCUACACUUUCUAUAUUAGAACACAAUGAAAUGUCUAUUGACACAAAGAUAUGAAGGAGGAUUUGGUAGUAAAUUAAGAAUAGAGCGCUUAAUUGAAAUAGGCAAUAGGGUACGUACACACUGGCCCGUCACCCUCCUCAAUAAAGUAACUUCAAAUACCUAAUAAGUAUACACCAAAAAGAGGAGAAAAGUCGUAACAUGGUAAGUAGCUGUGUGACCUUG